CCGUGCCAUGUUAUAAUGGAUGCUGUCCAGAUGCCUAAAAAGCAUUUCAUAAACAAGGGCCGGGCAAGACCGGUGCCAGCCGCCGCGGUAACACCGGCGGCUCGAGUGGUAACCGUUUUUAUUGGGUCUAAAGGGUCUGUAGCCGGCCUGAUAAGUCUCUUGAGAAAUCUGGCAGCUCAACUGUCAGGCUUUCAGGAGAUACUGUCUGGCUCGAGGCCGGGAGAGGUGAGAGGUACUUCAGGGGUAGGGGUGAAAUCCUGUAAUCCA
RNAcentral lists this ribosomal RNA (267 nucleotides) under uncultured Methanosaeta sp. Its description in RNAcentral is "partial 16S ribosomal RNA". It matches the Rfam family "Archaeal small subunit ribosomal RNA", at positions 383 to 649 of the family's 1478-position model. Lineage: Archaea; Methanobacteriati; Methanobacteriota; Methanomicrobia; Methanotrichales; Methanotrichaceae. The record is from RNAcentral.